GGGCAGUUCAUAGAACAUCUUGGUGACUGUAUGGAAACUCGAUGCAAAACAGAAAAUUACAUCCCUUUUUUUCACCCUGUGGCUGCAACUUCAUGGUAACACUUUACGGAUUGGUAAAUGCCAUGACAUCAUCUCCCCAGACAAUAACUUGGAUCCUCCUGCAUAUCAGAUGUCAGGCUCAGAAAAAAACAAACAACAACAAAAAAAAAACACUAAUAUAGCCAUGAGCCCUUUAGAAUCCACCAGGUUCCGGAUGCUACCAUGAUGCCAACUGGACUUCCCUGGGCAGAGGACCCCACCAAUGUGUCCUGGAGCCCCACUUUCUCAGAUCUUUGCUCCACCAGGGAAAGAGGGAGACAGGCUGGGAGUAUGGAUUGACCUGUCAACACCCAUGUUCAGCGGGGAAGCAAUUACAGAGGCCAGACCUUCCAUCUUCUGCACCCCAUAAUGUCCUUUGGUCCAUACUCCCAGAAGGAUAAAGAAUAGGAAAGCUAUAAGGGAAGGGGAUGGGAUAUGGAGUUCUGGUGGUGGGAAUUGUGUGGAGUUGUACCUCUCUUAUCCUGUGGUUUUUGUCAGUGUUUCUUUUUCAUAAAUUAAAAUUAUAUAUAUGAAGAAAGGGAAAACAAGGGUGAAACUGGGUAGGAUAUACUGCUGCAAAGUAAUGAGCUCUAGGCAUAGGGGAAUAGAGAGAUGACAUCAGGUGUCUAGUGAAUAUGAUAAAGAGGAACAUGGGCUCCUGAUGGGAAAGGUGUGCAGAUAACUAUCACUGGGAGAUAUGAGCCCACCAAUGUAUCAACACCUGUCAUGUAAAUCAUUAUUUCACCCAACAAAAUGAUUUUUAAGGUAACAAAAAAGAAUAUGAUGAGAAUGGAUUUGAAGUAGAAUAGUCCAUAAAAAUCAGGAAAAAUUCAUUUAAAUAAUAUUGAAAGUGAAGCUGAGCACAAUUCUAUUUUUAAAUUAUUAGAUCAAGGUAUUUUAAAAUUAUGGAAGAAACAGAAGCUUGUGACUUUUGAGUGCCUGUUGGACCAUAUGUUUCUCUAUUCUGUAUGCUCGAGAUCCCUGCGAUUUUAUAGGUCUUAGAGGCAAAUACUAAAGUUAUUUUGUUCUCAUUCUUAUAAACUCUGUUAACCACA
This is a long non-coding RNA of Erinaceus europaeus (western European hedgehog), 1133 nucleotides long. RefSeq lists it as uncharacterized. NCBI's taxonomy places the organism in Eukaryota, Metazoa, Chordata, Mammalia, Eulipotyphla, Erinaceidae. The transcript has 3 exons. The record is from RefSeq and is a predicted model, not a curated record.